UAGGGAAUCUUCGGCAAUGGACGAAAGUCUGACCGAGCAACGCCGCGUGAGUGAAGAAGGUUUUCGGAUCGUAAAACUCUGUUGUUAGAGAAGAACAAGGACGUUAGUAACUGAACGUCCCCUGACGGUAUCUAACCAGAAAGCCACGGCUAACUACGUGCCAGCAGCCGCGGUAAUACGUAGGUGGCAAGCGUUGUCCGGAUUUAUUGGGCGUAAAGCGAGCGCAGGCGGUUUCUUAAGUCUGAUGUGAAAGCCCCCGGCUCAACCGGGGAGGGUCAUUGGAAACUGGGAGACGUGAGUGCAGAAGAGGAGAGUGGAAUUCCAUGUGGAGCGGUGAAAUGCGUAGAUAUAUGGAGGAACACCAGUGGCGAAGGCGGCUCUCUGGUCUGUAACUGACGCUGAGGCUCGAAAGCGUGGGGAGCAAACAGG
RNAcentral lists this ribosomal RNA (429 nucleotides) under Gemmatimonadota bacterium. Its description in RNAcentral is "Gemmatimonadetes bacterium partial 16S ribosomal RNA". It matches the Rfam family "Bacterial small subunit ribosomal RNA", at positions 355 to 776 of the family's 1533-position model. Lineage: Bacteria; Pseudomonadati; Gemmatimonadota. The record is from RNAcentral.